UGGGACUAGAAGCUUAGCUCAGCUAUAUAUAUAUACAUCAACUCUUGUACAUACACAUUACAAUUAAAUACAAUACAAUUUACUUCCUUAUACAGCUACAUAUUCAUUCUCUUCUUCUUACUCUUCUUCUUACUUUUCUUCCUCUUCAUUUUUUCCUUUAUCUUCUUCUCUGAUUCUGUCUCUAACAGCUUUAUGAUCUUUACUUGGUUUCAUUCUUAAAUUCUACACAAAGUGGCUGUACUCUUGAAUUUUCCAUCUCUCUGUUUAAACAACAGAAUUAUUAAAACAACUACAAGUGAAGCUUGCCAAAAUGUAAAGUGAAAACUCAUUUCCUAAUAAUUGUCUACCCUUGUUUUUCUUGUAAACUGGAUAUCCACCUAAAACUGACAAGGAAGUACAAGAAAAGUAUGUUCUGAUUUUUUUUUUUUUUUUGUGUUUUUUGCUUUGGGAAAAACCUUUUCAGGUUUUAAAUGAAGACCUACGGCAAGUGAUUGGACAACAAGACCGGAUGCUCAAUGGUGCUAAUGUUUGGAACCUGCCUGUAUCAUACGAUGAGCUAGGAGUGAGGUAUAGGAUAUGGAGAGAUGCUGUUGAGAGUGGAGCAAAGAAAUUGCCAUUCAGCAAAUGAACAUGGAACUAAUCCAAGGAUAGAUUUUACAUCUCAAGAUGAAUGUUAACUCUAAACAACCUUACCUCUUUGAACAACUUUAGUUGCUGAGUAUCUAUGUUGGUAUAAAACGCGGUAUACCACACUUGCUCUGAGGAUAUACCAGAGCAUCUUGCUAUUGGUUCACCAAAAGGAGAUGAUUGCAGUAUAGCUUCCCUUGUAAAAAUAAAUAAAUUAUAUACUAAGGCUGCAUUCACUUUUAUUAAGGUUCAAACAUUCUGAAUCUAAAUGUAUAUCUAAAUAAUUGAGGUGGUUUGGCCAUGUGAUGAGGAGAGGCACGGAUGCCCCAGUUCGUAGGUGUGAGAGGUUGACCUUGGAAGGUUUCAAGCGGGGUAGGGGUAGACCGAAGAAAUACUGG
This 1025-nucleotide long non-coding RNA is filed under the name Capsicum annuum. RNAcentral describes it as "long non-coding RNA (CANN_LNC009643)". The record is from RNAcentral. Lineage: Eukaryota; Viridiplantae; Streptophyta; Magnoliopsida; Solanales; Solanaceae.